Molecule: long non-coding RNA, 1201 nt
Organism: Cyprinus carpio carpio
Lineage: Eukaryota; Metazoa; Chordata; Actinopteri; Cypriniformes; Cyprinidae
Source: Ensembl
CCCAAAUAAACAUGAUUUGACUGUCCAUCAGUUUCAUCAGUGUCCCGCGGCUCAUAAGCCAACGGUUUCAUGUGUGGACGGAUAACGCUCUCAACUCUAGCACUGUGUACUUUAUCUAAAGAAUGCUGCUGUCUCUGGGAAUUAUGUCUCGACAAAAGCAGAAUUUGCUGUGGCUGAUGAUCAUCUGUUGUGCUACGUGCCAGAUAACAAGUUCAGAAAACUCGACAGAUCAGUGUUUCUGGAACAGCAGUAGCUCAACACAAGUUAUUGAAUGGACCUGUCCAUCAGUUGAUGAAAAAAUGAAUCAGGAAGAUGAGGAUGAAGGUGUUGAACCCUCAGAAGCAUCAGACGCCUUGGACGAACUGGAGUCUGACAUGGAAGAAAUGGAAAAUAACAAUAUAAGCAAUGCAGUGAUUGUCAUGAGGAAUGUCUUCUCCAAAUACACGAUGAGAACACAACAACCGAAGACAUGUGCUACUCAUCAAAUCAGAACACGAUAAACGAUGUUGACUGUCAAAGUAUCCCAAAUACAAACUUUUCAUGGGCUGUAAAGAUUCCCAAGGAAGCAGUGUAUAAAUGACGACGGGAAAACAAUGGAUGUGCGUUUGUUGCAGUUCUACGGUUCAUAAAUAUGAGAAACAAGAAUCAAACUGCAAACCGGACUGUUUUGAACAAUGAGGUUUAUGGAAUAGCGAUGAAGGCCAAUAUCUCCAACCUUACUGAAAAUAUUGAAAUGUUCAUUACACAGAAAGAUCCGGUCAGUAAGCCAUCCUGCCAUUCUUGGGAUGGAAACGGAGAGCUUAAUUGGACGACGUUCGGCUGUGAGACAGAAACAAUCGAACAAUCAAACACCAUAAAGUGCUCCUGCUCACAUCUGACGUUCUUUGCAGUGCUGAUGAUCCCUCAGUCAGAUGCAAAUAAAACAGCACUGCAUCUGAAAGCAUUGACUUUUAUCACUUCUAUCGGCUGCGGCAUCUCCAUGUUUUUUUAUGGCUGUAGCUUUAUUCAUGGAUUUCCUGCUACGGUAGAGUAUCGUCAUAUCUGUGUCCCUGCAGCACAGAAGCAGUCAUCAGUAGCACAGGUAUAUUUGUAGCAAUAGACAACAAAACAUUGUAUGAGUCACAAUUAUACAUUUCUCUUUUAUGCCAAAAAUCAUUAGGAUAUUAAUUAAAGAUCAUGUUCCAUGAAGAUAUUUUGUACA